RNAcentral lists this transfer RNA (89 nucleotides) under Bacilli bacterium. RNAcentral describes it as "tRNA-Leu". It matches the Rfam family "tRNA". Rfam says of the family: Transfer RNA (tRNA) molecules are approximately 80 nucleotides in length. The record is from RNAcentral. Lineage: Bacteria; Bacillati; Bacillota; Bacilli.
GCCUGAGUGGCGAAAUUGGUAGACGCACAGGACUUAAAAUCCUGCGAGAAUCAACCCUCGUGCCGGUUCAAGUCCGGCCUUAGGCACCA